Molecule: ribosomal RNA, 305 nt
Filed under: Simulium shewellianum
Lineage: Eukaryota; Metazoa; Arthropoda; Insecta; Diptera; Simuliidae
Description: partial 16S ribosomal RNA
Source: RNAcentral
CAAGUUGUGUCAUAAAAAUUAAUAUUUGAAUUUAAUUUUUUAGUCAAAAGGAUAAAAUUAAGUUAAAAGACGAGAAGACCCUAUAGAGCUUUAUAUAAUAAUUAUUUAAUUUAUUAAGAUUUAUUAAAUUUAAUUAUUUGAUUAUAUUUUGUUGGGGUGACAGUAAAAUUAAAAAAACUUUUAUUAUUAAUUUACAUUUAUUUAUGAUUAAAUGAUCCAGUUUUAUUGAUUAUAAAUUUAAGUUACCUUAGGGAUAACAGCGUAAUUUUUUUUGAGAGUUUUUAUCGACAAAAAAGAUUGCGACC